UACAGAGGUCUCAAGCGUUGUUCGGAUUCAUUGGGCGUAAAGGGUGCGUAGGCGGCGCGAUAAGUCGGGUGUGAAAUUUCGGAGCUUAACUCCGAAACUGCAUUCGAUACUGCGGUGCUUGAGGACUGGAGAGGAGACUGGAAUUCAUGGUGUAGCAGUGAAAUGCGUAGAGAUCAUGAGGAAGACCAGUGGCGAAGGCGGGUCUCUGGACAGUUCCUGACACUGAGACACGAAGGCCAGGGGAGCAAACGGG
Molecule: ribosomal RNA, 253 nt
Filed under: uncultured bacterium
Lineage: Bacteria
Description: partial 16S ribosomal RNA
Rfam family: Bacterial small subunit ribosomal RNA
Source: RNAcentral